AGUGGUGGUUGGAGAGGUGGAAAGUGAGGCAUCUGAAAGGCAAUCUGAGAGUGAGGAUGAAGACAUUCAGGAUCAGAUUGAGGGACAGAAUGAGGGACAACCCAACAAGUCAUUGGGACAACCAGAUUCACCAUGCAUAUCAAGUACAGCACAGAUAUCAGCAAGUGCUUGGACGACACUCCAGUGCAGCCACGUCUGAAGAAAAGGUUCAUUGUAUGCAAAAAUAGAAAUCUUAUUUUACAAAAAAGAGAAACAUGGUUUUAAGAUUUACUGAGCACAAUUUAUUUUAUGUUUAGGCUAUUGAGACAGAAUGUUUAUCUCAUUGUAUUUAUGCUCAAUGUAUUUUGUUUUGGUUUUAAAUAAACUAAACAAAACAUUUUGAACGCCUAAA
Molecule: long non-coding RNA, 391 nt
Organism: Neoarius graeffei (lesser salmon catfish)
Lineage: Eukaryota; Metazoa; Chordata; Actinopteri; Siluriformes; Ariidae
Exons: 2
Source: RefSeq, a predicted model, not a curated record